UGUCCCGCCGGCCCCGGCCUCGCCGCCCCGCGCAGUGCCCAGCCCGGCCCUGCCGACCCGCUUCUACCGCUGGCUCCGCGCCCUUCCCCGAGGGCUGGAUGAUGGGCUCUUUCGCCCUGCAAACGGUGGACACCGAGCUGACCGCGGACUCGGUGGAGUGGUGCCCGCUGCAAGGCUGCAGGCACCUGCUGGCGUGCGGGACCUACCAGCUGCGGCGGCCGGAGGACCGGCCUGCCGGCCCCCAGAACAAGGUGUCACAUCCCGGUGGGUGGACAUGCCCUCUUGGGCUUGGCAGAUGCCAGUGGAUCCAUACAACUGCUCCGCCUGGUGGAAUAUGAGGUCAGUGACUUGCACUUGUUCUGUGGGGCAGAAGGGACUUGAAUAGAGAGGGUUGGGGAGGAGGCUGUGCUGAUAAAGACAUUUUUCUAGAACGAUCUCUCUUUAAUGGUGAGCUAUAUAUAAACGUUCUAAGAUAACGUGAAGUCUAUUUUUAAGUUGUAUUGCAUUCUACAUCCAACUCCAAGAGGAAGUCACCUCAUGUGUCACUAUAAGGGCUGAAGUGACAGGAUGUUCACUGACCUGUCAGUGAAUCUGAAAGUUCUCCAAUGACAGCCUGGGCAAGCAUUCUUAGGUUGAUGCUGGGGCCCAGAGUAGCAGUGAGCAUUCUGUGUGAAGAUGGCGUUUCUCACUGAUUAUUGGAAAAGCUUUAGAAGAGCCACGUGCUGGAGCCAUUGUCCAGCCUUGCCCUGGAGGAGCAGUGUCUGGCUUUGUCCCUAGAUUGGUCCACUGGGAAAACUGGAAGGGCCGGGGACCAGCCCUUGAAGAUCAUCAGCAGUGACUCCACAGGGCAGCUUCACCUCCUGAUGGUGAAUGAGACGGGGCCCAGGCUGCAGAAAGUGGCCUCAUGGCAGGCACAUCA
RNAcentral lists this small RNA (919 nucleotides) under Pongo abelii (Sumatran orangutan). RNAcentral's name for it is "processed transcript". The record is from RNAcentral. Lineage: Eukaryota; Metazoa; Chordata; Mammalia; Primates; Hominidae.